GUAUAUUGACCGUGCAAAGGUAGCAUAAUCAUUAGUCUAUUAAUUGUGGACUUGUAUGAAUGGUUGGACGAAAUAUUAGCUGUCUCAUUUUUAAUAAUUAAAAUUUAAAUUUUAAGUUAAAAUGCUUAAAUGUUUUUAUGGGACGAGAAGACCCUAUAGAUCUUUAUUUUUAAUAGUGUUUAUUUUAUUUAGAUUAUUUUUUAUAAAUAUCUAUUAAAUAUUUUGUUGGGGUGACAUGGAGAUUUAUUUAACUCUUUAUUUUAUUAUUCAUUUAUUUAUGUUUAAAUGACCUUUUAUUAUUGUUUUAAGAUAUAGAUACCUUAGGGAUAACAGCGUAAUUCUUUUUGAGAGUUCUUAUUGACAAAAGAGAUUGCGACCUCGAUGUUGGAUUAAGAUUAUAAUUAGGUGUAGGUGCUUAAUUGUUAGGUCUGUUCGACCUUUAAAUUCUUACAUGAUCUGAGUUCAAACCGGAG
RNAcentral lists this ribosomal RNA (473 nucleotides) under Dimorphodes sp. SB0087. Its description in RNAcentral is "partial 16S ribosomal RNA". It matches the Rfam family "Bacterial large subunit ribosomal RNA", at positions 1936 to 2621 of the family's 2925-position model. Lineage: Eukaryota; Metazoa; Arthropoda; Insecta; Phasmatodea; Phasmatidae. The record is from RNAcentral.